Molecule: ribosomal RNA, 143 nt
Filed under: uncultured eukaryote
Lineage: Eukaryota
Description: partial 18S ribosomal RNA
Rfam family: Eukaryotic small subunit ribosomal RNA
Source: RNAcentral
UGGUGGAGUGAUUUGUCUGGUUAAUUCCGUUAACGAACGAGACCGCGACCUGCUAAAUAGUUGUUGUAUUCCUCUGGAAUGCAACAUACUUCUUAGAGGGACUAUCGGAUGGUGUACCCCGGUGGAAGUUCGCGGCAAUAACA